Molecule: ribosomal RNA, 1522 nt
Filed under: Escherichia coli
Lineage: Bacteria; Pseudomonadati; Pseudomonadota; Gammaproteobacteria; Enterobacterales; Enterobacteriaceae
Also listed under: 15 other names
Description: bacterial SSU rRNA
Rfam family: Bacterial small subunit ribosomal RNA
Source: RNAcentral
AGAGUUUGAUCAUGGCUCAGAUUGAACGCUGGCGGCAGGCCUAACACAUGCAAGUCGAACGGUAACAGGAAGAAGCUUGCUUCUUUGCUGACGAGUGGCGGACGGGUGAGUAAUGUCUGGGAAACUGCCUGAUGGAGGGGGAUAACUACUGGAAACGGUAGCUAAUACCGCAUAACGUCGCAAGACCAAAGAGGGGGACCUUCGGGCCUCUUGCCAUCGGAUGUGCCCAGAUGGGAUUAGCUUGUUGGUGGGGUAACGGCUCACCAAGGCGACGAUCCCUAGCUGGUCUGAGAGGAUGACCAGCCACACUGGAACUGAGACACGGUCCAGACUCCUACGGGAGGCAGCAGUGGGGAAUAUUGCACAAUGGGCGCAAGCCUGAUGCAGCCAUGCCGCGUGUAUGAAGAAGGCCUUCGGGUUGUAAAGUACUUUCAGCGGGGAGGAAGGGAGUAAAGUUAAUACCUUUGCUCAUUGACGUUACCCGCAGAAGAAGCACCGGCUAACUCCGUGCCAGCAGCCGCGGUAAUACGGAGGGUGCAAGCGUUAAUCGGAAUUACUGGGCGUAAAGCGCACGCAGGCGGUUUGUUAAGUCAGAUGUGAAAUCCCCGGGCUCAACCUGGGAACUGCAUCUGAUACUGGCAAGCUUGAGUCUCGUAGAGGGGGGUAGAAUUCCAGGUGUAGCGGUGAAAUGCGUAGAGAUCUGGAGGAAUACCGGUGGCGAAGGCGGCCCCCUGGACGAAGACUGACGCUCAGGUGCGAAAGCGUGGGGAGCAAACAGGAUUAGAUACCCUGGUAGUCCACGCCGUAAACGAUGUCGACUUGGAGGUUGUGCCCUUGAGGCGUGGCUUCCGGAGCUAACGCGUUAAGUCGACCGCCUGGGGAGUACGGCCGCAAGGUUAAAACUCAAAUGAAUUGACGGGGGCCCGCACAAGCGGUGGAGCAUGUGGUUUAAUUCGAUGCAACGCGAAGAACCUUACCUGGUCUUGACAUCCACAGAACUUUCCAGAGAUGGAUUGGUGCCUUCGGGAACUGUGAGACAGGUGCUGCAUGGCUGUCGUCAGCUCGUGUUGUGAAAUGUUGGGUUAAGUCCCGCAACGAGCGCAACCCUUAUCCUUUGUUGCCAGCGGUCCGGCCGGGAACUCAAAGGAGACUGCCAGUGAUAAACUGGAGGAAGGUGGGGAUGACGUCAAGUCAUCAUGGCCCUUACGACCAGGGCUACACACGUGCUACAAUGGCGCAUACAAAGAGAAGCGACCUCGCGAGAGCAAGCGGACCUCAUAAAGUGCGUCGUAGUCCGGAUUGGAGUCUGCAACUCGACUCCAUGAAGUCGGAAUCGCUAGUAAUCGUGGAUCAGAAUGCCACGGUGAAUACGUUCCCGGGCCUUGUACACACCGCCCGUCACACCAUGGGAGUGGGUUGCAAAAGAAGUAGGUAGCUUAACCUUCGGGAGGGCGCUUACCACUUUGUGAUUCAUGACUGGGGUGAAGUCGUAACAAGGUAACCGUAGGGGAACCUGCGGUUG